RNAcentral lists this ribosomal RNA (412 nucleotides) under uncultured eukaryote. RNAcentral describes it as "bacterial SSU rRNA". It matches the Rfam family "Eukaryotic small subunit ribosomal RNA", at positions 1 to 416 of the family's 1831-position model. The record is from RNAcentral.
GUUGGAUCCCUGGCCAUGUAUGUCGUAUGGCUUGGUCUCAAAAACUAACCCAUGCAUGUCUAAUUAUAAAUGUUAUACAGUGAAACUGCAAAUGGCUCAUUAAAACAGUUAUAGUUUAUUUGAUAAUCAAAUUUACAUGGAUAACCGUGGUAAUUCUAAAGCUAAUACAUGCUGUUAACCCUGACUUUUAGGAAGGGCUGUAUUUAUUAAAUAACAAACCAAUAUUCCUUGUGUCUAUUGUGACAAAUCAUAAUAACUGAUCAAAUCGCAGGGACUUUGUCCGCAAUACAUCAUUCAAGUUUCUGCCCCAUCACCUUUCGAUGGUAGUGUAUUGAACUACCAUGGCUUUAACGGGUAACGGAGGAUUAGGGUUCGAUUCCGGAAAGGGAGCCUGAAAAACGGCUACCACAUC